Molecule: ribosomal RNA, 654 nt
Filed under: uncultured bacterium
Lineage: Bacteria
Description: bacterial SSU rRNA
Rfam family: Bacterial small subunit ribosomal RNA
Source: RNAcentral
CGCGGCCUAUCAGCUUGUUGGCGGGGUAAUGGCCCACCAAGGCGACGACGGGUAGCUGGUCUGAGAGGAUGGCCAGCCACAUUGGGACUGAGAGACGGCCCAGACUCCUACGGGAGGCAGCAGUGGGGAAUCUUGCGCAAUGGCCGAAAGGCUGACGCAGCGACGCCGCGUGGGGGAUGAAGGUUUUCGGAUCGUAAACCCCUGUUGCCCGGGACGAAUGGCCCUUUUCGAGGGGUUUGACGGUACCGGGUGAGGAAGCACCGGCUAACUCCGUGCCAGCAGCCGCGGUAAUACGGAGGGUGCGAGCGUUGUCCGGAAUCACUGGGCGUAAAGGGCGCGUAGGCGGCUGGGGAAGUCCGUGGUGAAAGCUCGUGGCUCAACUACGAGUCGGCCAUGGAUACUCCUCGGCUCGAGUCGACUAGAGGCAGAUGGAAUUCCGGGUGUAGCGGUGGAAUGCGUAGAGAUCCGGAAGAACACCGGUGGCGAAGGCGGUCUGCUGGGGUCGAACUGACGCUGAGGCGCGACAGCGUGGGGAGCAAACAGGAUUAGAUACCCUGGUAGUCCACGCCGUAAACGAUGGGCACUAGGUGCUUGGGGGAGCGACCCUCUGGGUGCCGGCGCUAACGCAGGAAGUACCCCGCCUGGGGAGUACGG